This is an RNA transcript of Cynocephalus volans (Philippine flying lemur), 2526 nucleotides long. It is a transcript of the gene named proline-rich protein 2-like, with no coding region annotated. NCBI's taxonomy places the organism in Eukaryota, Metazoa, Chordata, Mammalia, Dermoptera, Cynocephalidae. The transcript is spliced from 3 exons. The record is from RefSeq and is a predicted model, not a curated record.
CGCGGCGCCCGACUUGGGGGAGCGGAGCAGAACCACCUGCCGGCGCGGGGGAGCUACGGGGGCCGGGCAGGGUCCAAACGGCUCACGGCGGCGGCCGCGGUCCUCGGGGUCACGGGGAGGAGAAGCCUCAGCCCGGGCGGGCGGGAGCAGGGGUCACCUGCGCCGCCCAGGGCAGUGCGGGCGGCCUGGAGCGGGAAGGGACGCCGGGACCUGGUGGCCGCGCUCCCACGCCCCGGGGCUCCUGCGUGGACAGGGCAGAGGCCGACCCGGCUCCACCGGCCCCAGGGUCUGUGUCUUGCCGCCCCGCACAGCAUCUUCCUGAGCACUUGGUUCAACUAACAGCAGACACCGCCGUCCCCUCUCCGCCCGCACAGGGAGGACCCGCAGUUGAAGGGACAUGUCAUCGUUGCCCUCAAAGACGGGGAACAAGGCAAAGGUAACGCAGUUCUAAUAAAAGACACAGCAUGAAAGGGCCACGUGGAAAGUGCAAAGUACCGCGGACGGUCAAAGAGCACGGCGGCAACAAGGAGGCGGCACGUGGGACCGACUGAAGGAGACGCGCGGAGUCUCACGGCACCAAGGCACAGGCUGGACCCUGGACGUGACGGCUUUGCACUGAUUAUGCAGAUGACUACAAGCCCCUGGGCUUGGUAAAGCCAUAAGAAGGUGCCUGGAUAAAGGCGAGCUGCCGUCAGACCUGGAAUACCCAAUUAUGGGAGCAAGGCAUCUUGCAUGUGAUGUGAAUAACUCAAAACUGUAAUUCAUGGAACAAAGUUGAGAAAUGGUCUUCUAGGAAUUUUGGUUCUCCCUGGAAACACAGGAGUACUUUGGGCCUUUCUGGUGCCUUUCCACACCUGCCCUCUGCUGGAGUUGUUGCUGGUGAAUUCCAAAUCCUGGCCAAGCGAAGCCAGCACUGGAGAAUUCUGGCUCUGCCUCAUGUCUCCAAGGAAACUUCUGGGACUUGACAUUCUGUGUGUGAAAAUCUGGUCUUGGUUGGCACUCCCAGCACGACAGCAGAGUUCUGCAGUCUGCAUGUACUCUGGGGUGUGUGCCACAACUUCCACCAUCAAAAUGGAGAACAUGGUCUCAACAGAGUGAGUGAUUAGAGAUCAAAGCCUGAGGUCCUCGAAUCAUAGAAUAUCUAAUAUCAAAUAUAAAAACAUGCUCAUGGGAUAUCCAUAUGGUCCUAGACCUAAUAUGAUGAAAAAUGCCAACUUUAAAAUAUGUUGACACAUGCUUAGUACACUUUAAGUCCUGUGAAGACAAAAAGUCUGAAAACAGGUUGCACAAUGGCAGCCCUGGAGCAAAUGUGGCCCAUACAUGUUUUACUUGACCUAUAAUGUUAAUAAUACUUGACCCAAAAUUUAAAAAUUGAAAAGUUUCUUACAAAAAUAUGUAUUUCUAGUUUCACUAAAAAAAUCAGAAGAGCUACCAUUUUUUGAAUAGCAACAGUAGCUGGAGCAGAAUGACAACUGCCCAUUUAGACAACUGCUGCAGUUGCCACACUCACUGUGGUUUCCCUGGCUCCUAAAGUCACUCUAGCUUGUAACCGUUGGUUUAAAACAUAACUGAUUCUCUAGUUUUUGAAAUUCUCUCAAAACAAACAAAAAAACUUGAACUAGCAAAUGGCACAGAUCCUCACAUGGAACUAGAGCAGAUACAAAGUUGACCAUAGACAGCAGUUCCCAAACUUUGCUAUACAUUAGAUUUUAAAAAUCCUCCUGCCCAGGGCACAGUGGCGGAGGCAGCCAGGCAUCUUUUUUUAAAAGAUCAUUAUGUGAAAGAGCAUAGAUGGGCUCACUGCCAAGUCUCACUCCCAAGUCCAUUUGGAUUCUUCGCAACUGAAUAUUUCCCUCUUCCAGAAUUUUACAAUUGAGGGAACAAACUAGGGAAAGAUUAAUUAGUGCAAGGUCACACUGCUAGUAACAGAAGUUAGGAUUCCAACCAAGAUCUUCUGACUCUAGUAUCCUUUCAUACAGUUUUAUAGCGAUUUAAGUUGAUACAAGGAUAAUUUUAAAUACUUAACAAGUAGAGAAACUGAAUGUCCACAUAAACUGAUUUUAUCCUCACAAAAUAUGUCAGAAAACAGACACACUAAAAACAGAGGCAUGACUAUCAAGUGACCAAGUUAGUUUAGUCAAAAGAUUAAUUUUUCUGCUAUUUGAAAAUGCAAAAAAUAUUCAAAGAAGAUAAAUAUAAGUCUGGGAGGCAGACAAUAAAAAGGGUACUAUCAAAACCCAAUAAACUGAAAGAAAGAAAAAGAAAGACCACAAUAAUAUGCUGAACUUUCAAAAGGAGAGAACAAAUCUAUGGUUACUCGAGGUGGGAGGGAGGUAGGAGGAGGAGGUUGGGGAGAGAUUGGGUAAGGGGCAUAAAGAAUAAUUACGAUUUGUAAUAAUGAAUAUGCUGAUAAUAUUGAUUUGAUCACCACAUGUGGUACACAGGUGAUGGUAGUCAACGCUGUACCCCCAAAAUAUGUAUAAUCAAUUAUGCUUCAAUAAAAAAAAAUUUUUUUUAAACCAAACU